RNAcentral lists this ribosomal RNA (205 nucleotides) under uncultured bacterium. RNAcentral describes it as "partial 16S ribosomal RNA". It matches the Rfam family "Bacterial small subunit ribosomal RNA", at positions 328 to 545 of the family's 1533-position model. The record is from RNAcentral.
ACGCUCGACACCUACGGGAGGUAGCAGUGGGGAAUAUUGCACAAUGGGGGAAACCCUGAUGCAGCGACGCCGCGUGGAGGAAGAAGGUCUUCGGAUUGUAAACUCCUGUUGUUGGGGAAAAAGAGGAUGGUACCCAACAAGGAAGUGACGGCUAACUACGUGCCAGCACGCCGGACGGUAAUCUGAGGCGGGCGUGGACGAAGGC